Molecule: unclassified non-coding RNA, 368 nt
Filed under: Hevea brasiliensis (rubber tree)
Lineage: Eukaryota; Viridiplantae; Streptophyta; Magnoliopsida; Malpighiales; Euphorbiaceae
Source: RNAcentral
AUAAACUCAAAGUAUAUAAUCUUUUGUUAAUUUUUAUUGUCGUGAGCGAAUGUGAAAUGAAAAUACAUGAAGCUAGAAGGGAAGGUAGUGUGAAAGAGAAAAAAGAGUUAUAAAAAAAAUUAUUAUGGAUAAAAUUUUGAAUUUCACUCUUGAUAUUAUUUUCUAUUGAAAAAAUAAAAAUUGGCAUGCCUCGAGGAGGCAAGUGCUACAAAUUUUAGGAUGUGGAUGGCAGGAAUAAUAUACAAUUAAAUGUGAACUAAAAGGUUACUUUCAAAUGAUAAAAGUUUGACACUUAUUGCAAAGUAUAUAAUUUUUGUUCAUAUAUUUUGUUACUGUUAAGUACUAACUUGUAAGCAAAAAAAAAAAAA